RNAcentral lists this small RNA (113 nucleotides) under uncultured Anaeroplasma sp. Its description in RNAcentral is "Ribosomal protein L10 leader". It matches the Rfam family "Ribosomal protein L10 leader". Rfam says of the family: This family is a putative r-protein leader autoregulatory structure found in B. subtilis and other low-GC Gram-positive bacteria. It is located in the 5' untranslated regions of mRNAs encoding ribosomal proteins L10 and L12 (rplJ-rplL). The record is from RNAcentral. Lineage: Bacteria; Bacillati; Mycoplasmatota; Mollicutes; Anaeroplasmatales; Anaeroplasmataceae.
UAUUAAAAAUUUAAGCCGAAGACAGUAGGCGGGCGUAAGCCCUUAAUUUCCUACCGAGGAAUUAGAAAGAUAGAGAUCUUCUUUUGCCUUGGUAGAAGAAGAUUUUUCAUUUU